GCGGUCUAUUGCCAAACACGCAGCCGUCUGGUGUGCAGUUUGUUUACUUGUCUGCGUUUGUGGGUCUUUGGUCGAGACCCUUCCACUCCAGUUUCAUUCAUAUUUCUUUAUCAUAUUUGUCGUUAAUAUUCAUAGGACUGAAGACAUGGUGUACAACCUCCGUCACUCCGUUCCUUUGGAAUAUAUUCAGCGUUAACAUCUAGUGGACUUUGCUGAGUACCUGCGUAGGGUAGAUCUAGAUGACUCGCGUUGACAUGGUUGACUUCUGGCAUGUCUAGCAAACCGGCGAUCGUCUGCUUUUGAUAAAGGUUGUUAACUUGUUGAAUGCCUUGCACACGCUGUUCGACGCCAUCAUUUCCAACUAUGACGUCUACAAGGUUGAAAGCAUCGACGAUGCCUACAUGUUGGUCUCCUGCCUACUGAUCCGUAAUGGCAGCCGUCAUGCUGGUAUGAUCGCCUCCACUGCAUGGCAUCUCCUGGAGGGCGUUGAUAGUUGAUCAUGCCACACAAACAAGAUGAGAAACUCAAACUCCGCAUCGGUAUUCACUCAGGGCAAAGGUGAAAGCCUGACGUACUGGCUCGAGGGACAUGAUCCAAGCUACAAGAUCGACCAAAUCAAGCCACCCAAACAAAACUUGUUAACAACCAGAAUAUUAUCCAAACAUUAUCUGCAACGCAUUUGGAUCAGCAAUUUUUUGUAAAGAGGUGAUGGCAGAUCUACCAGCUCACUUCACAUCAGAGAGCUCUCUUGAGAAGCACUAUAG
Patiria miniata (bat star) is the source of this 764-nucleotide long non-coding RNA. RefSeq lists it as uncharacterized. NCBI's taxonomy places the organism in Eukaryota, Metazoa, Echinodermata, Asteroidea, Valvatida, Asterinidae. The transcript has 5 exons. The record is from RefSeq and is a predicted model, not a curated record.